Molecule: long non-coding RNA, 240 nt
Filed under: Cricetulus griseus (Chinese hamster)
Lineage: Eukaryota; Metazoa; Chordata; Mammalia; Rodentia; Cricetidae
Description: lncRNA (ENSCGRG00000026508.1)
Source: RNAcentral
ACAUACCUGACAGCCUUGACCUGGGCUCAGCAAUUCAACUCCUCUUGAAUUCAACCCUUUCGGCUUAGCAGCCUCCACUCAAGUAAAGCUGGAUCCUUGACUGUACCACAGAAAAGAAUUUUAAAGCAAGCCAGAGUGAAGCAGGGUUCAUGAGUUUAUGCCGAGUCAACAAAGCGCCAAAGGAAAGCACCAAAGGAAAACCACACCUCAAGCUCCUCUUUCCGCUUCCAUAUGCCUGAA